GUGCUCACUUCAGCAGCACAUAUACUAAAAUUAGAAUGAUAUAGACAAUAUUAUCAUGGUCCCUAAGUAAGGAUGACAGGCAAAUUUAUGAAGCAUUCCAUAUUUUU
RNAcentral lists this small nuclear RNA (107 nucleotides) under Dasypus novemcinctus (nine-banded armadillo). Lineage: Eukaryota; Metazoa; Chordata; Mammalia; Cingulata; Dasypodidae. The record is from RNAcentral.